RNAcentral lists this unclassified non-coding RNA (1401 nucleotides) under Hevea brasiliensis (rubber tree). The record is from RNAcentral. Lineage: Eukaryota; Viridiplantae; Streptophyta; Magnoliopsida; Malpighiales; Euphorbiaceae.
GUUGAAUAAAAAUUCUCCCCGUAAAUUUUCCAUGCAGCAAGGUAUAGAUAGGUAUACCGUGGAUACGUAGAAAUAAAGCACAAGAGGGAAGAGGUUUGUUCACUUCACAGUAUUAUUACUAUAAAAUUCCACUUUCCCACUCAAUAAUAUAGAUGAUAUACCAAAUCCAACAACAAAUAAAAUGUCUUCACUCGGAUGUCAGUCGCUCACCCAUCUUCCCACCUUAUAUCUUACUUCCCCCCAAUGAAUUCAUUCAACCAGAGGGUAUUCAAAUCACACCAAGAUAAAUAUUGAAUAAUCCCAAACCAGUUGCAGUAGCAUAUCACCUUAUUUGACUCAAAUCAUUCGGCUGACUCUGGAUUAUGCCAUUCUCGUUCAGGUAUUCAACAAAUUCAUCGAUAAGGUAUGGCCAAGCACCUUCAGCAUCAUAAUUUGAUAGUGUCGGCUCCACAGUCCUUGCAAACUCCAGAAGUUGAGACCAUGUGUCCCUAGAAAUAGCUUUAUUAUGCCGAGCCUGCAAGAACUGACACCAGUGGUCGACCAGGAGCCACUGCUUUUCAGCAAAUAGUAACUGCCACAUUCCAAUUGCAGUGUCCAAUGCUAAAGAUUUUUGCCCCUUUUCUUUUGCCCAACCAAAUGCGAAGUUGUAAAUCUCACGGAACUUUUGAUCAUCUUUCAACUCAGAGCGCAUAUAUGGUAUCCUUUCUCGAAACCUCUCCAGAGAAUCUAUCCCUAGUGCUUGUAAUCCACCUAUAAACUCCUGUUUGGAAAACUCACACAUUGUGUUUGCCUUCAUAUGCCAAGAAACAACCAACAUAACAAUAUCUUGAGGAUCCACCUGAAGGUCAUCACAGAGCAGUGAGAUUCCAUCAGCCAAUAUCAUAUCAACAUAUGGAUCUUUAUAUCUGUUAUAAAGCUCUUCCAAAUGUCUAGAGUCGGUGAAUGCUUUAAUUUGGGGUUGACUGUAAAAUACAUCAAAAGCUCCCUCAAGAUGCCAAUCGCUAGCCUUCAGGGCCUGAUGAGCAACCUUUUCACUUGUACCAGUUAUGGCCAUAAAUUGAUGGAGCUUAUCUCGGUGUCCUCUGCUUAAUUUAUGCAUUUUGUAGGUGGUGGGUAGAAGCUCAACGCAGAGAAAGGGCAAGCGCAGGCUACUGUGAAGGAACUAUUUUCUUGAAGUGAGAUUUUCCCGGCGAAAUGGCGAAAACGCCAUUACUUAUUUUGUGUACCUUCCUCCUACUAGGAACCCUAACUCUCAUCCAGGCAAAGAAGUCGAAGGAGAAUCUGAAAGAAGUGACUCACAAGGUUUACUUCGAUGUGGAAAUUGACGGAAAGGCUGCUGGUCGUAUUGAGAUGGGUCUUUUCGGGAAGGCUGUUCCUAAAACCGCUGAAAAUUUCCGAGCA